UCUAUGUUUACCUCAAAUAAUCUUUUGGAGGUCUGAAACAAAACCAAGGCAGUGCUCGGUAGGUGUCAGCGCUUUGAGAGUGAUUCCACAGCUCCAGCACCGCACCCAUCAAUUGGGUAACAGCUGAGCUGGGGAGGAAAACAACGCAGCUGGGUUUCCUUUCCUGCCCUUGACACCUGCGGAUCUCUGGUGGCUGGCACGGCCCUGCUUGGAUGUGUCACCUCGUGAGACAGCGCUUCUUGGGACAGCACCUUCCAGAGGCGUUGCAUCAAAGAGGAAUUCACUUCGGAAUGUCGGUGUUUGUACUGGGUUACAGGUUUUUGGUUUUCUCCUGUGGCUGUUUAAAGUGUCCUCCUCGUUCCAAAGGCUGAGGACUCCAUGUGCACAGCAAGUUCCAGGAGUGAGGUCACCCAGGGAAGCUGGACAGCUCUCAGGAAUUCCAACAAAACCCUGACAGCAAGCACAGGAGAGCUGGCACAGAAUCCUCCAGGGGCUGGUGAAGGCAAAGUUGGGUUCUACAGGAUCCUCCUUCUUUGUUUCCCAGAUUCCUGGGACACCUUUGCAGAGCUUAGAGUGCAGCAACAGUGGUUUGCAGUCACUGGGGCCUCAGCACUUGUGACAAGCACCCCAACCACGACGCUGCUUCUUGGAACCUCACCUGCUGCCAUGGAUGGAGCCAGUUUAUAAUUCCCACACCACGGGGAAUCCAUGGCCACUUUGCUCAGGAAUUCCUGCUCAGUCUUGUUCCUUAGCUAACAAAUCUGUCCCCAGCACUCCAAGGGUGUGGAGCAGGCAGCUUGGUUUCUUCUGGGCAUACACUCCACACAGAGGGCACCUUUGGGACCCUCUCUCUACAAUGGAAAUGUGACUUGGCCAACAUUCCCAAAUCACCAUCGACUGAGCCAUCUCAGAUUUCAAAGGAGCCCAGGCUGCUUGACUGUCGGGAGACUGGAUCUAGAAAAACAACCUUUGCAUCACUGCUGUGCUGUUCCUUGGAUGGAUCAUGUUCUGCCUGCCUUGCCCGGUGGCUGCAGCACGUUUGUGUCAGCAGGAGGAGGUAGUGAUGAUCUCUUUUUGGAGUUCAACACUGAGAGGUAAAUUUGGUGUGAAGAGUCAGAAGAGCACUCAGAGAUCCUGGUGCUUAUGUAGCUGCCUUCAGCAUCAGAGACAGCAGAGGGAGGGAGACACACCAAAGAAGGAACAUAACCAGAAAACUGAAUUUAAAUAGUAUGACCCAAAUUUUCCAUGACCAUUUUAAUCAGUAUCUCCUCAGUUGCUUUUAUGCCCUGCUAAGAAACAGCCCAAGAGAGUCCUGUUUAUUUUUAUGUGAGAGCUCUUUCUGAGACCUGGAU
This is a long non-coding RNA of Zonotrichia leucophrys gambelii, 1352 nucleotides long. RefSeq lists it as uncharacterized. The record is from RefSeq and is a predicted model, not a curated record. Lineage: Eukaryota; Metazoa; Chordata; Aves; Passeriformes; Passerellidae. The transcript is spliced from 5 exons.